Molecule: ribosomal RNA, 725 nt
Filed under: Bacillus sp. (in: firmicutes)
Lineage: Bacteria; Bacillati; Bacillota; Bacilli; Caryophanales; Bacillaceae
Description: bacterial SSU rRNA
Rfam family: Bacterial small subunit ribosomal RNA
Source: RNAcentral
AGGUUUUCGGAUCGUAAAGCUCUGUUGUUAGGGAAGAACAAGUGCCGUUCAAAUAGGGCGGCACCUUGACGGUACCUAACCAGAAAGCCACGGCUAACUACGUGCCAGCAGCCGCGGUAAUACGUAGGUGGCAAGCGUUGUCCGGAAUUAUUGGGCGUAAAGGGCUCGCAGGCGGUUUCUUAAGUCUGAUGUGAAAGCCCCCGGCUCAACCGGGGAGGGUCAUUGGAAACUGGGGAACUUGAGUGCAGAAGAGGAGAGUGGAAUUCCACGUGUAGCGGUGAAAUGCGUAGAGAUGUGGAGGAACACCAGUGGCGAAGGCGACUCUCUGGUCUGUAACUGACGCUGAGGAGCGAAAGCGUGGGGAGCGAACAGGAUUAGAUACCCUGGUAGUCCACGCCGUAAACGAUGAGUGCUAAGUGUUAGGGGGUUUCCGCCCCUUAGUGCUGCAGCUAACGCAUUAAGCACUCCGCCUGGGGAGUACGGUCGCAAGACUGAAACUCAAAGGAAUUGACGGGGGCCCGCACAAGCGGUGGAGCAUGUGGUUUAAUUCGAAGCAACGCGAAGAACCUUACCAGGUCUUGACAUCCUCUGACAAUCCUAGAGAUAGGACGUCCCCUUCGGGGGCAGAGUGACAGGUGGUGCAUGGUUGUCGUCAGCUCGUGUCGUGAGAUGUUGGGUUAAGUCCCGCAACGAGCGCAACCCUUGAUCUUAGUUGCCAGCAUUCA